AGCCUCACGAAACUGGAAUAAGCCUU
Molecule: non-coding RNA, 26 nt
Filed under: Homo sapiens (human)
Lineage: Eukaryota; Metazoa; Chordata; Mammalia; Primates; Hominidae
Source: RNAcentral